Molecule: ribosomal RNA, 429 nt
Filed under: Chloroflexota bacterium
Lineage: Bacteria; Bacillati; Chloroflexota
Description: Chloroflexi bacterium partial 16S ribosomal RNA
Rfam family: Bacterial small subunit ribosomal RNA
Source: RNAcentral
UGGGGAAUAUUGCACAAUGGGCGCAAGCCUGAUGCAGCCAUGCCGCGUGUAUGAAGAAGGCCUUCGGGUUGUAAAGUACUUUCAGUCGGGAGGAAGGUGUCAAGGUUAAUAACCUUGGCAAUUGACGUUACCGACAGAAGAAGCACCGGCUAACUCCGUGCCAGCAGCCGCGGUAAUACGGAGGGUGCAAGCGUUAAUCGGAAUUACUGGGCGUAAAGCGCACGCAGGCGGUUGAUUGAGUCAGAUGUGAAAUCCCCGGGCUUAACCCGGGAAUUGCAUCUGAUACUGGUCAGCUAGAGUCUUGUAGAGGGGGGUAGAAUUCCAUGUGUAGCGGUGAAAUGCGUAGAGAUGUGGAGGAAUACCGGUGGCGAAGGCGGCCCCCUGGACAAAGACUGAUGCUCAGGUGCGAAAGCGUGGGGAGCAAACAGG